RNAcentral lists this ribosomal RNA (388 nucleotides) under uncultured bacterium. Its description in RNAcentral is "bacterial SSU rRNA". It matches the Rfam family "Bacterial small subunit ribosomal RNA", at positions 28 to 417 of the family's 1533-position model. The record is from RNAcentral.
GACGAACGCUGGCGGCGUGCUUAACACAUGCAAGUCGAGCGGUAAGGCCCUUUCGGGGGUACGACGAGCGGCGAACGGGUGAGUAACACGUGGGUGGCCUGCCCUCAGCUCUGGGAUAAGCCUGGGAAACCGGGUCUAAUACCGGAUAUGACUCCAUGACGCAUGUUGUGGGGUGGAAAGCCUUGUGCAGCUGAGGAUGGGCCCGCGGCCUAUCAGCUUGUUGGUGGGGUGAGGCCUACCAAGGCGACGACGGGUAGCCGGCCUGAGAGGGCGACCGGCCACACUGGGACUGAGACACGGCCCAGACUCCUACGGGAGGCAGCAGUGGGGAAUCUUGCGCAAUGGGCGAAAGCCUGACGCAGCGACGCCGCGUGAGGGAUGACGGCCU